GACGAACGCUGGCGGCGUGCUUAACACAUGCAAGUCGAACGGAAAGGCCCUGCUUUUGUGGGGUGCUCGAGUGGCGAACGGGUGAGUAACACGUGAGUAACCUGCCCUUGACUUUGGGAUAACUUCAGGAAACUGGGGCUAAUACCGGAUAGGAGCUCCUGCUGCAUGGUGGGGGUUGGAAAGUUUCGGCGGUUGGGGAUGGACUCGCGGCUUAUCAGCUUGUUGGUGGGGUAGUGGCUUACCAAGGCUUUGACGGGUAGCCGGCCUGAGAGGGUGACCGGCGAGAUGGGGACUUGGAGAAGGGCGAGACUCCUACGGGAGGCAGCAGGGGGGAAGAGUGCACAGUGCGCGGGAGCCGGACGCAGCAACGCCGCGUGCGGGAUGACGGGCGUCGUGGUGGAAAACGCAGUCGCCGGGGACGAAGCGGGAAUGGGCGUAAUGGGUAGAGAGACACCGACUAGCUACGGG
Molecule: ribosomal RNA, 468 nt
Filed under: uncultured bacterium
Lineage: Bacteria
Description: partial 16S ribosomal RNA
Rfam family: Bacterial small subunit ribosomal RNA
Source: RNAcentral